This is a long non-coding RNA of Heterocephalus glaber (naked mole-rat), 1012 nucleotides long. Lineage: Eukaryota; Metazoa; Chordata; Mammalia; Rodentia; Bathyergidae. The record is from Ensembl.
ACAGCCUUCACCACUAAUGAGCUCCAAGUAACUGAGUUACCUCUGGAUUUAGAAGGUUGAUGCAAAUGCAAGAACCACUUGCAGUGGCCAAAUUUGAACUCUUCUUUGAGUCACGAUUCUAAGAUCAGUAAUUCAAAAUGACAUUUGCAAAAUCAUGACUGAACAGUAAAUUACAGAGAAGAAGAGCACAGAAGGUAACUCGUGAAACAUCUUAGAGUUUUCAAGGAUCUGCAGGUACGUGGGAUUCAGAAGUUUCAAUGGAGAGGAUCUGGCUACAUCUCAGACAUAAGACUUCAGUUCAAUAAUACUUUGAGUGUUAUGUCUUGGUAAAGAAGAAGAUGGUCAAAUGCUGAACUAUAUGGUGUCCCUGGAGAUUCUGUGUCUGGACUGGAGCCUGAGACUGUAGAUUGUGCUCCCCUUAGCUCAGAUCACACACUCACCCAUUCCGGGCCCUUCCCUGGGCAAAGUCACACCAAAGAUACAGAGCAUUCAGAUACUGAACAGAUGUCCCUGCUGUACUCUACAGGCUCUUUGCUAACAUUGCCUGAAGGCUCUUCAUGUCAUACCCUUCCACUGGGGAAAUGCUACAUUUCAUUUUCUUCAUGCAUUCUGAGGACAGAGACCUGGACUCCUCCAAUCCUCUUCUGUGCCAGUCCCAAUGUUUGCCUUUUCUCAAUACAAAGGGCCAGUUUUGUGGGCACCAGCCAGGCAGAGAUCAGAGCUGGCAUCUGCUUUUAACUGUAUUUGGUGGAUGUUUCCUGCUUCUUCCUCCUGUGAAUAGGGCCUCAGUUAUACUCAAGUGAUUUCAGACUGUCCUGAGGAAACAACUGACCUCAGAGGAGAGCUGCUGAGAGCAGGCUCAAGAUUGGCCUCAACUGGAACACACGAUUGUUCUACAUCACAACACUGAUGAGUUAAAAUAUGAAUGUUGAAUCCAAAUCUUUGAAAAUGACUUUUUGAGAGUCCUUGAUUCAUACUGGUAACUGAUAAAGUAGAAAAUGAAAAUGCUAAG